GGCCUGAUGCCACAUCUCUGGUAGCUACAAACCUACAAGCUUUGACAAAAGAUGUUAUGAUUAGGCUGAUACAAAGUUGUUUCUGCUUCAUUA
RNAcentral lists this small nucleolar RNA (93 nucleotides) under Zea mays. RNAcentral's name for it is "Small nucleolar RNA snoR2/U65". It matches the Rfam family "Small nucleolar RNA snoR2/U65". The record is from Rfam by way of RNAcentral. Lineage: Eukaryota; Viridiplantae; Streptophyta; Magnoliopsida; Poales; Poaceae.